UAGUCCACGCCGUAAACGAUGAUCACUCGUUGUUGGCAAUACAUCGUCAGCGACUGAACGAAAGUAUUAAGUGAUCCACCUGGGAAGUACGAUCGCAAGGUUGAAACUCAAAGGAAUUGACGGGGGCCCGCACAAGCGGAGGAGCAUGUGGUUUAAUUCGAUGAUACGCGAGGAACCUUACCUGGGCUUAAAUGCAGAGCGACCUCUCGGGAAACCGAGAUUCUCUUCGGAGCGAACUGCAAGGUGCUGCAUGGUUGUCGUCAGCUCGUGCCGUGAGGUGUCGGGUUAAGUCCCAUAACGAGCGCAACCCCUAUCAUUAGUUGCCAUCAGGUUAAGCUGGGGACUCUAAUGAAACUGCCUACGCAAGUAGUGAGGAAGGUGGGGAUGACGUCAAAUCAGCACGGCCCUUAUGUCCAGGGCUACACACGUGCUACAAUGGUCGGUACAGAGGGUUGCUACCUGGUGACAGGAUGCUAAUCUCGAAAACCGAUCUCUA
This 496-nucleotide ribosomal RNA is filed under the name uncultured bacterium. Its description in RNAcentral is "bacterial SSU rRNA". It matches the Rfam family "Bacterial small subunit ribosomal RNA", at positions 791 to 1291 of the family's 1533-position model. The record is from RNAcentral.